RNAcentral lists this long non-coding RNA (6566 nucleotides) under Sus scrofa (pig). RNAcentral describes it as "lncRNA (ENSSSCG00030047627.1)". Lineage: Eukaryota; Metazoa; Chordata; Mammalia; Artiodactyla; Suidae. The record is from RNAcentral.
GGAAGAGCUGCGUGGAGCUAUCAGUCGAAGCUUGCGUGCUGAACUCAACCUGGAGCUCGUUGGAGGACUUUGCCCCAGAUGUGAGCGGUGUGAGGACGAUGGUCUUUGCCGAUUGAAGGGAUAGGGUUCAAGACCAAGGCUUGUGAAUUGAGACCGUUGGGCUGUGGGCUCUUAAAGGCUGUCCAGGCUCCGGACUGCAUUGCCCAAUGUCUACGGUACCCGAAGCAACGUUCUGUCCGCGCACCGGCUCUUUCAGGACCGUAGGAGGGAUCGCGAGCGCGUCCCCGAGGAACAUCCGCAGCUUGAGGGAACCGCAGAGUCAGAUAUGAAAUCCAAUUGUCAGACCAAGAAGUUGUCACCAAAAAAUGGCAUUUUUGACAGAGGAUUACCUCAGCGGGAAAUAAUGGAAAUUUGUGAAAAACACAGCCUUGAAUGUUUAUGUUUUAGAGGUGAUUGGGAAAGCAAAGAUCAGUUUGAAACAUGACAGGAAAAUCAGGAAGAAUGUUCUAAGCAGGUUAUACGCACCUGUGAAAAAAUCCCCACUUUUAACCAGCACAUGGCUUCUAAUGUGCAUCAGAGACUUAAUACAAGAAAGAAACUGAAUAAACUUAAAGGGUGUACAAAAGCCUUUUGUUCUGGCUCAGACUGUAUUCAACAUCAUUUAAUUCACACUGGUGAAAAAUUUUGUAAAGAUAAAGAAUGGAUUUUUUUUUUUGACCGUGCCUGCAACAUGCCGAAGUUCCCAGGCCAGGGAGUGAACCCAUGCCACAGCAGUGACAGUGUUGGAUCCUUAACCCGCUAGGCCACCAGAGAGCUGUGGAGGAAUUUUUAAUGGUCAUAUAAUUAUAUAAACUGUAUUAGACAUAAUUUUUUUUUGUCUUUUUAGGGCUGCACCUGUGGCAUAUGGAGGUUCCCAGGCUAGGGGUUGAAUUGAAGCUACAGCUGCUGGCCUACAGCCACAGCAUGGCCAGAUUCAAGCCACAUCUGUGACCUACACCACAGCUCAUGACAAUGCCAGAUCCUUAGCCCACUGAACGAGGCCAGGGAUCAAACCUGCAUCCUCAUGGAUACUAGUCAGAUUUGUUUCUGCUGAGGCAUGACAGGAACUCCGAUUUUUUUAUUUUUCCAUUAUGGUUGGUUCACAGUGUUCUGCCAGUUUCUUCUGUACAACAUAGUGACCCAGUCACACACAUAUAUACAUUCUUUAUUGUCAUUUUGAAUUGUUGAGCUUUGCUUUGCAGGCAGUUACAUCAUUUGAAAGUUGGCUUGAUUCUUUUGAAGCUUUUGAGAAGCUCCAAAAGAUCUGUCCAAAGUGUUUGCUUUAGAGCUAAUUUAGCUCUCCUCCUAAUACGUAACUCCUCUGGGCUAUCUGCUAAAUAAUAUGAGUGACCGUCAGGGUCAGAAUUAGAAAAUCUAUUUGUUCUGUAUCAGCACUGGCCAUUUUCCAACUAGCAACUCCUUAAUUAUACUUUGCUCAAUCUUGUAGAAUCACAUGCUACUUCAUAUUCAGAAAGCUUAAAAAUGACCCUUUUGCACAUUUCUGAAACUCUUUCUGCAUAGCUCCCUCCUCUGCAUAACUGCCCUGCAACUUGCAGGCACGUGAGUCUCUUUGAUCCUCACCUUCUCAAUACAGUAACAUAAGGAUACUGUGUUUUGGACCCUUUCUCUUUGUCUAGAAUAUGUCUCUAGGUAGAAAGCAGGUGGAAACAAAUGUUGCUCACCUCAUUUGUUUCUCUUCUAUCAGGGAGCUUUUCCUAUCCAAACGGUUAACUCCAUCAUGGCUUCAGAGGAAGUCCAUAAUUUUUGCUUUUGGUGAUGUUAUGGGGAAUGAACACUCUCAUACAUUAAUGAUGAGACCGUAAAUUAACUUUCUCAAAAUUCGAUUUAGCAGUCUAAUCUGUAGGAAUAUAUUCUAUAGAAAUAAAAAAUACUUGCAAGAUUAAGCAUAUAAGGAUAUUAUAGCACCAGUCUGCAGCAACAAAGAUAUAACCUGAAUACUUCAUUUGGAGGAAAUGGGUAGGAUAUAUCAUGACAUUGCUGUUACACUGUUCCUGUUUUAUUCUGUGGGCAAUUUUUUUUUUAUGGCCACACCCACAGCAUAUGGAAGUUCCCAGGCUAGGGGUCGAAUUAGAGCUGUAGCUGCCAGCCUACACCACAACUCACAGCAACACCGGAUCCUUAACCCACUGAAUGAGGCCAGGGAUCGAACCUACGUCCUCUUGGAUACUAGUCGAGUUUGUUACCACUGAGCCACAGUGGGAACUCCCAUUAUUACUUGUAGCCUUUUCUUUUUCCUUAAAGACCUUUGAACACUUCUUGUAAGGUUGGUUUAGGAUUGAUGAGCUCUUAGUUUUUGCUCCUCUGAGAAAUUCUCUCUUCUUCAGUUCUGAAUGACAGCCUUUCUGGGUAGAGUAUCUUGAGUUGCAAUUUUUUUUCUAUUCAACUCUUUAAAUAUAUCGUGACACUUGGUUCUGAUCUGCAAAGACUCUUCUGAAAAAUCAGCUGAUAACCUUAUGGACAAUUCCCAUCUUCGUGACCCUUUGCUGUUCUCUUGCUGCCUUUAGAAUUCUCUUUUUAUCUUUCACUUUGCAUUUUUAAUUCUGACUUGCAUGGGUCUUUUGAACUCAUCUCCUUCGGGACUUUCUGUGAUUCUUGUACCUGGAUAUCUCUUUCCAUGUUCAGAGUAGGCAAGUUUUCAGUCCUAAUUCUGUCAACUAUUUCUAACCCUUUCUCUCUUCCAGGGACCCCUGUAAUGUGAAUGGUAGUAUGCUUGAUGCUGUGUCAGUGUCCUUUAAAUUGUCGUCACUAAUUUUUUUCUCUUUGUUCUAAUUGGGUGUUUUUUAUUAUUACAUCUUCCAGAUCGCUAAUGGAUUUCCUGUAUUUCCUAAUCUUCUGUAUUGCCUACUCUUCUGCUCUGACUGGUUCUUUUCUAUAUUUUCUGGUUCUUUAAAAAAAUUUUUCCUGGCUCCCAUCGUGGCCCAGUGGAAAUGAAUCCGACUAGGAACCGUGAAGUUUCGGGUUCUAUCUCUGGCCUUGCUCAGUGGGUUAAGGAUCCGGCGUUGCCGUGAGCUGUGGUGUAGGUCGCAGACGCAGCUUGGAUCCCGCAUUGCUGUGGUGUAGGCCAGCGGCUACAGCUCCAAUUGGACCCCAGCCUGGCAGCCUCCAUAUGCUGCAGGUACAGACCUGAAAAUGCAAAAAGCAAAAAAAUAAAAAAAAAAAUAAAAAUUUUUCCCGUGUUCAUUUGUUCUUUUUUUUUUUUUUGCUUUUUAAGGCCACACUUGCAGCAUAUGGAGAUUCCCAGGCUAAGCAGGGAUUGAAUCAGAGCUACAGCUGCCAGCCUAUACCACAGCCACAGCAACGCAGGAUCCAAGCCACGUCCGUGACCUACACCACAGCUCAUAGCAAUACUAGAUCCUUAACCCACUGAGUGAGGCCAGGGAUCGAACCUACAACCUCGUGGUUCCUAGUCGGAUUGUUUCCACUUCACCACAAUGGGAACUCCUGUUCAUCUAUUCUUUAUCCCAGUUCAGUUACUACUAUUGCUUUGACCUGUUUAUCAGGUAAAUUAUUUAUCUCUUUUUCAUUGAGGUUAUUUUCUUACUCUUUCAUUUCAAACAUAUUCUUCUCUCUUCUCAUUUAAGUUUCCCUAGCUCUAUGAAAUUAGAUGAGAAAGUUACCUUUCCCAGGCUUAAAGGUGUGUCCUUGUGUGAGAGGGUCCCUGUGCAGUCUGCUGUGCCCAGUGGAUUUGUUGGGAGAGCUGGAUCUGAAGUGAGCAUGGGCUGCAUUUUCCCCCGGGGUGUUGUGGCAACCCCCACCAUGGUGGGCAGUAGGGCUGGAGUUGGAGGGGCUAGAGCCACAUCCAGGUUCCAGCAGAGGCGUCUCCUAUGCUCAGUGACUAUUACAGCCCUAUCAGGGGUGGGCUGGGAGCCCGAGGGGCUGGAGCAAGAUCCCUUAGGUUUCUGCCGGGUGUGAUAGCAGUCUCUGCCUUGGUUUGGGAUGGGGCUGCCGUCUAAAGGCUUGUGGCUGCACCUCUGUGCUUGUCUUACUGUUUUCCCAGUGUGCCCACCUUGGUUAGAGGCUGAGUCAAGUCCAGAGAGCUGGCCCUUCCCCUUGCAAGUAUGCACAGAAACCUCUACUCUGCUGAUGGCCGUCUUCAUCCUGGAGCUAGUGUUUCUCCCUCCAGCGUGUCUGUGGGGCUGCUUGAGCUGGCAGUGGUUGCCUACAGCUUGCUCAGAGGCAGGGCCAGUAUCCGAACCAGCACCAUUUUCUCCAAAUGUGUGCGCUCUCAUUGGCAGUGGCAACCUCCACUUUGUGAGCAGGAACAAGGAGGGGAGGAGCAGGUGCCUGGUGUGGACUGGGGGAGCCCAUGGGAGCCAUCCUUGCAAGCUGGCCAGAGCCCCAGGUGGCUCCCGUCUGCUGUUUCCCUGCUAUGACUGGGCACAAGUGCGUCUCUGCACAUGCUCUUCGGUUGAGAGCAGAGUCUGGUGUCUUCGAGCACUGCAGUUAUCCUCACUGCUUUUCUAACCCACCAAGGGGACUCAUCCUCCUAGGCUCCCACAUACUAGGCACCGAGCCUGAGCUGCCUAAUACGUGGUUCACAGCCCUCUUUCCUCAGCCUUUGCUCUCCCCUCCUCUUCCAGGUCUCCUGCUAUGGGCGUGGGUCCCAGCAGAUCUCUCCUCCCUUCCUACCAGACUCCGGGUGGAUCUUUCUUUACAGCCUCAGUUGUAGAAGAGCUGUUCUGCUCGUCCGCAGGUUGAGUUCAAUGAGAAUCACUCUAUUGGUAGUUGUAGUUUUGAUGUGUUUCUGAGAGAGGGUGAGCCCAGUGUCUGCCUCCUUUGACAUCUUGAUCUCUCUCCUCCACAAGCGAUGUUUGCGUUAAACCAUGUUUACGGUAUAUAGGCCCCCUGAUUAUUCUGAAGCCAAGUGAUGAAAGUAGAAGGGGGUAGUUAAUGUGAAAUUAUGAGAGCAUUUUCUGCAAAUGAUGGUUUAACGUAUUAAUGUAAUAUAGUUGCCUCAUUGUGUUAUAAUUGAUAAAUAAAGGGAAUAUAAAGCAGUAAUACCUCCAUAUUGAUUCCUAUUAGGAUAAUAGUAAUGUUAGGCCAGGAGGAUGAUAUCAACACAAAUGCGUCUCCAAAUAAAUCGAUUGAUGGGGGGUAAAGCUAGAUUGCUGAGGCUUGCUAGAAGCCAUCCUACUGCUAUUAGUAGAAGCAGUAUUUGUAGCCCACAAACUAGAAUUAUAGUUCACCUAUAAUGCUGUUCAUAGUUGGAAUAUCUAAGGCAAAAUAGUGUUGAUAAUGUAAGGCUGUGGGCGAUUCUUCAGGCUGUAGCCUUGUGUGACUUCAUGAUGUUUGAGUAAGAAUGGCUAUACUUACUGGUGCUGUGUGGCUGAUGGCAGACCAUAAGAUGAGUGAUUUUAAGUCUGUUUGGCAGAGACAGAUGGAGCUGGUUAUGAUUAUUCCUCAUAAAGAUAGUGUAAGGAAAGGAUAUGCCAUUGAAUUCAUCAAGGCAUUUAGUAUGGUAGGUACUAAUAACAGGAAAAUAUUAGAUUAAGAAUUGGAUAUUGUUUAUGUUCUGUAUUGAAUUAUUAGAAAAUGUAAGGACCCUAUAGAUUUUGAUAAGAACUAGUACAAUGAGAGGUGGGAAGUUAUCCAAGUGGUGGGUACAAUAAGAGAUAAGAGUCCUGGAUUGAAUCAUCUUUUCUGAUUUCCCCACUGGGUAAUAAACUAUUAGGUUUUGGACUAACGUUACUUCAAAUAAUAUAUAGACGGGUUCCUGUUGUGGCUCAGUGGGUUAAGAACCCAACAUAGUGUCUUAAGGAUGUGGGCUCGAUCCCUGGCAUUACUCAGUGGGUUAAGGAUCCUGCAUUUCCACAAGCUGUGGUGUAGGUCACAGAUGCAGCUUGGAUCUGGUGUCACUGUGGCUGUGUUGUAGGCCGACAGCUGCAGCUCCUGUUCAACCCCUAGCCUGGGAACUUCCAUAUGCAGCAGGUGCAUCCCUAAAAAGACAAAAAAAAAAAAAUAGCAAGUAGAGUAAGAAUAAUAAGGGUGAUUAAAAGCCGUGGUACAACUAAUGCUUAUUAGGGCUAGGGUUUCUCUUCCAAUUAGGGAAAUUAGUAGGUGACUGGCAGUGAUAGUACUAGGUAUGAGUCAUAAGAUUAUGGUUAUUGGUUGAAUAAAGUGACUGAUGGUUUGGGAAUUACUAGUACAAGAAUAAGUGGUAUAGGUGUUCCUUGGAGCAGGAAAUGGGCCAAGGAUGCUUUUGUUUUAUGACAAUUACUGUUCCUGCUCAUAGGUGUACAGACAUUGCUGGGUUUAUUGAGAGUUGUGUAGUGGGUGCAAAUGAGUGUGAUAAAAGCUGUGAUAGAGGAGUUCCCAUUGAGGUUCAGUGGGUUAAGAAUCCAACACUGUUUCUGUGAGGACUCAGGUUCUAUCCUUGGCCUCACAAGGCAUUGCCGCAGGGAAGUCACAGACAUGGCUCUGAUCCCUGUUGCUAUAGCUGUGGAAUAGGCUGCAGCUGCAGCUCCAAUUUGACCCCUGGCCCAGGAACUUUCAUAUGCCACAGCUGC